GAUGAAGAACGUAGCGAAAUGCGAUAAGUAAUGUGAAUUGCACAAUUCAGUGAAUCAUCGAAUCUUUGAACGCACAUUGCGCCCAUUAGUAUUCUAGUGGGCAUGCCUGUUCGAGCGUCAUUAAGUCCACUUAAGCCCUGCUUAGUGUUGGGAGACUGCUCCAGCGGUGCUACCCUGUAGCUACCCUGCAGCUCCUCAAAGACAGCGGCGGAGUUGUGGUAUCCUCUGAGCUUAGUAACUUGUUCUAGCUUUCGAGUACACCACUUCCCCUGCCGUAAAACCCUUAAUUUUUAAUGGUUGACCUCGGAUCAGGUAGGAAUACCCGCUGAACUUAAGCAUAUCAAUAAGCGGAGGA
This 355-nucleotide unclassified non-coding RNA is filed under the name soil metagenome. RNAcentral describes it as "partial contains 5.8S ribosomal RNA, internal transcribed spacer 2, and large subunit ribosomal RNA". The stretch from base 1 to 120 matches the Rfam family "5.8S ribosomal RNA", at positions 35 to 154 of the family's 154-position model. The record is from RNAcentral.